ACCGCCCUAGUAUAAACAUUACAAAUGACUUCCAAUCAUUUUAUCUUGGCCUAACCCCAAGGGGCGAUA
Molecule: transfer RNA, 69 nt
Filed under: Rhinatrema bivittatum (two-lined caecilian)
Lineage: Eukaryota; Metazoa; Chordata; Amphibia; Gymnophiona; Rhinatrematidae
Description: tRNA-Gly
Source: RNAcentral